AUUGAACGCUGGCGGCAUGCCUUACACAUGCAAGUCGAACGGUAACGGGCCUUCGGGUGCCGACGAGUGGCGCACGGGUGAGUAAUACAUCGGAACGUGCCCGAUCGUGGGGGAUAACGAGGCGAAAGCUUUGCUAAUACCGCAUACGAUCUACGGAUGAAAGCAGGGGACCGCAAGGCCUUGCGCGGACGGAGCGGCCGAUGGCAGAUUAGGUAGUUGGUGGGUUAAAAGCUUACCAAGCCGACGAUCUGUAGCUGGUCUGAGAGGAUGAUCAGCCACACUGGGACUGAGACACGGCCCAGACUCCUACGGGAGGCAGCAGUGGGGAAUUUUGGACAAUGGGCGCAAGCCUGAUCCAGCCAUGCCGCGUGCAGGAUGAAGGCCUUCGGGUUGUAAACUGCUUUUGUACGGAACGAAAAGCCUUCUUUUAAUACAGGAGGGUCAUGACGGUACCGUAAGAAUAAGCACCGGCUAACUACGUG
RNAcentral lists this ribosomal RNA (482 nucleotides) under uncultured bacterium. Its description in RNAcentral is "partial 16S ribosomal RNA". It matches the Rfam family "Bacterial small subunit ribosomal RNA", at positions 30 to 507 of the family's 1533-position model. The record is from RNAcentral.